This 328-nucleotide unclassified non-coding RNA is filed under the name soil metagenome. Its description in RNAcentral is "partial contains 5.8S ribosomal RNA, internal transcribed spacer 2, and large subunit ribosomal RNA". The stretch from base 1 to 120 matches the Rfam family "5.8S ribosomal RNA", at positions 35 to 154 of the family's 154-position model. The record is from RNAcentral.
GAUGAAGAACGUAGCGAAAUGCGAUAAGUAAUGUGAAUUGCAGAAUUCAGUGAAUCAUCGAAUCUUUGAACGCACAUUGCGCCCCCUGGUAUUCCGGGGGGCAUGCCUGUUCGAGCGUCAUUUCAACCCUCAAGCUCUGCUUGGUAUUGAGUCCAUGUCAGCAAUGGCAGGCUCCAAAAUCAGUGGCGGCGCCGCUGGGUCCUGAACGUAGUAAUAUCUCUCGUUACAGGUGCUCGGCGUGCUUCUGCCAAACCCCCAAUUUUUCUAUGGUUGACCUCGGAUCAGGUAGGGAUACCCGCUGAACUUAAGCAUAUCAAUAAGCGGAGGA